Molecule: ribosomal RNA, 208 nt
Filed under: uncultured bacterium
Lineage: Bacteria
Description: partial 16S ribosomal RNA
Rfam family: Bacterial small subunit ribosomal RNA
Source: RNAcentral
GUCUCAGUUCGGAUUGGAGUCUGNAACCCGACUCCAUGAAGCUGGAUUCGCUAGUAAUCGCGCAUCAGCCACGGCGCGGUGAAUACGUUCCCGGGCCUUGUACACACCGCCCGUCAAGCCAUGGAAGCCGGGGGUGCCUGAAGUGCGCUGCCGCAAGGAGCGCCCUAGGGUAAAACCGGUGACUGGGGCUAAGUCGUAACAAGGUACC